This 107-nucleotide small nuclear RNA is filed under the name Colobus angolensis palliatus. Lineage: Eukaryota; Metazoa; Chordata; Mammalia; Primates; Cercopithecidae. The record is from RNAcentral.
GUGCUCAUUUCUGCAACACAUAUACUAAAAUUGGAACAAUAUACAGAAGAUUAGCAUGACCCCUGGGCAAGGAUGACAUGCAAAUUCAUGAAGUGUUCCAUAUUAAA